GAUGAACGCUGGCGGCGUGCCUAAUACAUGCAAGUCGAGCGAACAGACGAGGAGCUUGCUCCUCUGACGUUAGCGGCGGACGGGUGAGUAACACGUGGAUAACCUACCUAUAAGACUGGGAUAACUUCGGGAAACCGGAGCUAAUACCGGAUAAUAUAUUGAACCGCAUGGUUCAAUAGUGAAAGACGGUUUUGCUGUCACUUAUAGAUGGAUCCGCGCCGCAUUAGCUAGUUGGUAAGGUAACGGCUUACCAAGGCAACGAUGCGUAGCCGACCUGAGAGGGUGAUCGGCCACACUGGAACUGAGACACGGUCCAGACUACUACGGGAGGCAGCAGUAGGGAAUCUUCCGCAAUGGGCGAAAGCUUGACGGAGCAACGCCGCGUGAGUGAUGAAGGUCUUCGGAUCGUAAAACUCUGUUAUUAGGGAAGAACAAAUGUGUAAGUAACUAUGCACGUCUUGACGGUACCUAAUCAGAAGGCCACGGCUAACUACGUG
Molecule: ribosomal RNA, 497 nt
Filed under: uncultured bacterium
Lineage: Bacteria
Description: partial 16S ribosomal RNA
Rfam family: Bacterial small subunit ribosomal RNA
Source: RNAcentral